RNAcentral lists this ribosomal RNA (503 nucleotides) under uncultured bacterium. RNAcentral describes it as "partial 16S ribosomal RNA". It matches the Rfam family "Bacterial small subunit ribosomal RNA", at positions 355 to 842 of the family's 1533-position model. The record is from RNAcentral.
UGGGGAAUUUUGGACAAUGGGCGAAAGCCUGAUCCAGCAAUGCCGCGUGUGUGAAGAAGGCCUUCGGGUUGUAAAGCACUUUUGUCCGGAAAGAAAUCCUUGGCUCUAAUACAGUCGGGGGAUGACGGUACCGGAAGAAUAAGCACCGGCUAACUACGUGCCAGCAGCCGCGGUAAUACGUAGGGUGCAAGCGUUAAUCGGAAUUACUGGGCGUAAAGCGUGCGCAGGCGGUUUGCUAAGACCGACGUGAAAUCCCCGGGCUCAACCUGGGAACUGCAUUGGUGACUGGCAGGCUAGAGUAUGGCAGAGGGGGGUAGAAUUCCACGUGUAGCAGUGAAAAUGCGUAGAGAUGUGGAGGAAAUACCGAUGGCGAAGGCAGCCCCCUGGGCCAAAUACUGACGCUCAUGCACGAAAAGCGUGGGGGAGCAAAACAGGAUUAGAUACCCCUGGUAGUCCCACGCCCUAAAACGAUGUCAACUAGUUGUUGGGGAUUCAUUUCCUUA